RNAcentral lists this ribosomal RNA (394 nucleotides) under uncultured bacterium. Its description in RNAcentral is "bacterial SSU rRNA". It matches the Rfam family "Bacterial small subunit ribosomal RNA", at positions 29 to 405 of the family's 1533-position model. The record is from RNAcentral.
AAUCAACGCUGGCGGCGUGCCUCAGACAUGCAAGUCGAACGCGAAAAGGCCCCUUCGGGGGCCGAGUAGAGUGGCGUCCGGGUGAGUAACACGUGGGUAAUCUACCUUCGGGUGGGGAAUAACGACCGGAAACGGUCGCUAAUACCGCAUAAUGCAGCGGCACCUAAUGGUGACAGUUGUUAAAGCGGGGGAUCGCAAGACCUCGCGCCUGAAGAGGAGCCCGCGGCGGAUUAGCUAGNGGCAGGGUAACGGCCUACCAAGGCGACGAUCCGUAGCCGGCCUGAGAGGGCGGUCGGCCACACUGGCACUGACACACGGGCCAGACUCCUACGGGAGGCAGCAGUCGGGAAUUUUGGGCAAUGGGCGAAAGCCUGACCCAGCAACGCCGCGUGAA